This 419-nucleotide ribosomal RNA is filed under the name bacterium. Its description in RNAcentral is "partial 16S ribosomal RNA". It matches the Rfam family "Bacterial small subunit ribosomal RNA", at positions 355 to 776 of the family's 1533-position model. The record is from RNAcentral.
UGGGGGAUAUUGCACAAUGGGCGAAAGCCUGAUGCAGUGACGCCGCGUGGGGGAUGAAGGCCUUCGGGUUGUAAACUUCUUUUGCUCUGAACAAGGCAUGCUAAUGGGUGUGUUGAGUGUAGGGGUUGAUUAGCGCCGGCUAACUACGUGCCAGCAGCCGCGGUAAUACGUAGGGCGCGAGCGUUGUCCGGAAUUAUUGGGCGUAAAGGGCUUGUAGGUGGCUGGUUGCGUCUGUCGUGAAAGCUCAUGGCUUAACUGUGGGUUUGCGGUGGGUACGGGCUGGCUUGAGUGCAGUAGGGGAGGCUGGAAUUCCUGGUGUAGCGGUGGAAUGCGCAGAUAUCAGGAGGAAUACCGGUGGCGAAGGCGGGUCUCUGGGCUGUUACUGACACUGAGGAGCGAAAGCAUGGGGAGCGAACAGG